AGCGAACGCUGGCGGCAGGCCUAACACAUGCAGGUCGAACGAACCUUUCGGGGUUAGUGGCGGACGGGUGAGUAACACGUGGGAACGUGCCUUUAGGUUCGGAAUAACUCAGGGAAACUUGUGCUAAUACCGAAUGUGCCCUUCGGGGGAAAGAUUAAUCGCCUUUAGAGCGGCCCGCGUCUGAUUAGCUAGUUGGUUGAGGAAAUGGCUCACCAAGGCGACGAUCAGUAGCUGGUCUGAGAGGAUGAUCAGCCACAUUGGGACUGAGACACGGCCCAAACUCCUACGGGAGGCAGCAGUGGGGAAUCUUGCGCAAUGGGCGAAAGCCUGACGCAGCCAUGCCGCGUGAAUGAUGAAGGUCUUAGGAUUGUAAAAUUCUUUCACCGGGGACGAUAAUGACGGUACCCGGAGAAGAAGCCCCGGCUAACUUCGUG
Molecule: ribosomal RNA, 434 nt
Filed under: uncultured bacterium
Lineage: Bacteria
Description: partial 16S ribosomal RNA
Rfam family: Bacterial small subunit ribosomal RNA
Source: RNAcentral